This is a long non-coding RNA of Portunus trituberculatus (swimming crab), 421 nucleotides long. RefSeq lists it as uncharacterized. The transcript is spliced from 2 exons. NCBI's taxonomy places the organism in Eukaryota, Metazoa, Arthropoda, Malacostraca, Decapoda, Portunidae. The record is from RefSeq and is a predicted model, not a curated record.
AAGACGUAAUGAUAUGAAGAAAUGAAGGAAGAGGAGGUAAAAGCGAAGAAGAAAGAUGCAGGAGGGACAAGAAGGGCAACACAGAAUACCAAUCUAAUAAGACCCACUGAAGGACUGGCAGCCAUGAAUGGAAUAGACUGAAUACGUAAGUUGUAAGUAGCUGUUCAUUGUUAGUACGUCUCCAGCACAAUAUAAAACGUACCAGUAAAUAUAACAAGGAACGAAAUGAAAAUAAUAGCGAACGAAAACCAAAGAAAUCAACGAGAGACGAGAAUUCCAUGAAGAGUGACUGAAUAAAAGGAAAAAUAGCGAAGUGAAGUAACGUAGCGCUGGAAAAUAUAAAAGGUGUGUCGAUGCUUAAUAGAAUAACAACAAGAAUAAAUAAAUAAAUAAAUAAAUAAAUAAGGGUAAACAAAUAAAA